GGCUCCGAAGGAAAUCAUUUGGGUCACGUUAAAGCAUAAUGGAUGUCUGCCUUUGCCUCGCGGCAUAGGCACUGUCCAAUAAAAUGGCUCCACAACUCACAUGUUCAUUGGUCCACGUAUCACUUAAUCCCGGCUCGGCGACCUCACAGACGUGUAUUAUAAAAUGAGAAAUAACAGGUAUGCUCCAUCCCUCAGAAAAUUUUAAUUUUUUU
This 212-nucleotide unclassified non-coding RNA is filed under the name Hevea brasiliensis (rubber tree). Lineage: Eukaryota; Viridiplantae; Streptophyta; Magnoliopsida; Malpighiales; Euphorbiaceae. The record is from RNAcentral.